UACGUAGGGUGCGAGCGUUGUCCGGAAUUAUUGGGCGUAAAGGGCUCGUAGGCGGUUUGUCGCGUCGGGAGUGAAAUCCACUGGCUUAACUGGUGGCUUGCUUUCGAUACGGGCAGACUGGAGGUAUGCAGGGGAGAACGGAAUUCCUGGUGUAGCGGUGAAAUGCGCAGAUAUCAGGAGGAACACCGGUGGCGAAGGCGGCUUGCUGGGCCUUACCUGACGCUGAGGAGCGAAAGCGUGGGGAGCGAACAGG
RNAcentral lists this ribosomal RNA (253 nucleotides) under uncultured bacterium. RNAcentral's name for it is "partial 16S ribosomal RNA". It matches the Rfam family "Bacterial small subunit ribosomal RNA", at positions 524 to 776 of the family's 1533-position model. The record is from RNAcentral.